Molecule: ribosomal RNA, 271 nt
Filed under: uncultured bacterium
Lineage: Bacteria
Description: partial 16S ribosomal RNA
Rfam family: Bacterial small subunit ribosomal RNA
Source: RNAcentral
UACGAAGGGUGCAAGCGUUAUUCGGAAUGACUGGGUGUAAAGGGCGUGUAGGCGGAUGAUUAAGUUAACGGUAAAAGGCCAUAGCCUAACUGUGGAACCGCCGUUAAAACUGAUCGUCUAGAGUUAGGAAGAGAGAAGUGGAAUUCUCGGAGUAGCGGUAAAAUGCGUAGAUCUCGAGAGGAACACCGAUGGCGAAGGCAGCUUCUUGGUCCUAGACUGACGCUGAGACGCGAAAGCGUGGGGAGCAAACAGGAUUAGAUACCCGAGUAGU